CGUACCAUUGAUAAAAUCGCGCUUCAUUGCAAACAAGUUCCACGAAAAGGAUCAGCAUGUGAAUAAUGAAAAGUGACAGCUGUCAUUGUUUCGAAGAAACCUCGUUUGGCUUGGGGGUUUAACACCCACAAUUCUGCAAAUGCGUGGUGAGAAGCCAUCUGGUGAAGUAAUUUAGCCCCGCCCCUUCCACUCCUGUCACUAUAAAGUCCCGGGUGUCCCAGAAGAAGGGGUCACUUUUGGCGCCUGAGCAACCCGCGAGCUCCUCUGAAACUCCACGGAACCUUUCCCUCAAUCCUCUUUUUGAAUUCCUGUAAGAUGGAUGUGAGCCAACAAGUGCUAUUUUCAGUUCUGUUUUCAUGUAUUUUGUGUCCAAAUGAAAGGGAUGACCCCAAAAUCUCUCGCUAAAGUCCCGAGCUGUCAUUGCAGUACCCGGCCACAGAGUGUAUGAUUUAUUUACGCUGGUGGCGGACAUUGUUGCCUUAGGGUCUAUGUUCAGAUGUAACACUGUCAUCUUCUUCUUUUCCCACAUUGGUGAGAAGCCGCCCGGUAAAAGUCUUUUAGCCCUGCCCCAUCCACUCCUGCUGCCAUAAAGUCCCAGGUGUCCAAGAAGGAGGCGUCACUUUUGGCCUGAGCAACUUGCAAGAUGGAGCUCCGCUGAAACUACACGGAACCUUUCCCUCAAUCCUCUUUUUGAAUUCCCGCAAGAUGGAUUGGUGAGAAGCCAUCUGGUGAAGUAAUUUAGCCCCGCCCCUUCCACUUCUGUCACCAUAAAGUCCCGGGUGUCCCAGAAGAAGGGGUCACUUUUGGCGCCUGAGCAACCCAUGAGACAGAGCUCCUCUGAAACUACACAGAACCUUUCCCUCAGUCCUCUUUUUGAAUUUCUUCAAGUGGUGAGAAGCCGCCCGGUAAAAGUCAUUUAGCCCCGCUCCUUCCACUCCUGCUGCCAUAAAGUCCCAGGUGUCACAGAAGGAGGCGUCACUUUUGGCCUGAGCAACUUGCGAGAUGGAGCUCUGCUGAAACUACACGGAACCUUUCCCUCAGUCCUCUUUUUGAAUUCCUGCAUGAUGGAUGCGCACUAACGAGUGCUAUUUUCAGUUCUGUUUUCAUUUUGUGUCCUCGGACAAAUGAGAGGGACGACCCCAAAAUUUCUUGCUACAGUCCCGAGCUGUCAUUGCCGUACCCGGCCACAGAGUGUAUGAUUUAUUUACGCUGGUGGCGGACAUUGUUGCCUUAGGGUCUAUGUUCAGAUAUAACACUGUCAUCUUCUUCUUUUCCCACAGUGGUGAGAAGCCGCCCGGUAAAAGUCAUUUAGCCCCGCCCCUUCCACUCCUGCUGCCAUAAAGUCCCAGGUGUCACAGAAGGAGGCGUCACUUUUGGCCUGAGCAACUUACGAGAUGGAGCUCUACUGAAACUACACGGAACCUUUCCCUCAGUCCUCUUUUUGAAUUCCUGCAUGAUGGAUGCGCACUAACGAGUGCUAUUUUCAGUUCUGUUUUCAUUUUGUGUCUUCGGACAAAUGAGUGGGACGACCCCAAAAUUUCUUGCUACAGUCCUGAGCUGUCAUUACCGCACCCGGCCACAGCAUGUAUGAUUUAUUUAUGCAGCUGGCGGUCAUUGAUGCCUUAGGGUCUUUGCUUGACUCUUCCUUGGUCACUGUUUCUACAGAGUUUUCAUGUUCUCCAGAUGUCCCCUCCAUCCCUCAUGGAUAUUCCAUACGUUAAUCCCAGAUGUGACUUUAAACUGUGCCCUUAUAUAGAUUGUCAGCCCACCUAGGCUCGGUAACGAGCACAGACUUCAAAAACACUGGCGUGAAUUAUACAGGUUUCAAAAUGGAUGCAGCAUUUUGCGCAUUAGAGUUGCAACCUGCUGAUAUUUCUGGGUCAAUGUUGAUAACGAGAAAAAUAAAAAGGACGCGGCCAUUCCGAUACAAACGAACAUAGCCGCGAUACAAAAGAUUUGUAAUGCAGUGCCGGUCAUCCAUGCACAGACAGAAAAUAAUAUCGAUGUGAUUAUUGCAAGAUAAUUGCCAUGCAAAACAUGUAAUAGUUCACUUAGAGCCUAUUGACUUGUUUGGCUUGUUUUAAUAGAAAUUAUAUCAUUGACUUCCAAGCUGCAGCAGCCUGGAUUUAAAAUAUAAGCAAAAUAGAUACUAGUUUUGACAGGUUCGAUUGCAAACACAUUUCUCUUUUCCUAUGUCUAAACUUUAAUCAAGAUCCUUUGUUUUGCUAUGAAUGAUGGGUAAAGUCGGGGCUGUUUUGUAAGCAUGUGCACAUCCAGAUCCCUCAUAAUAUUAGUUAAAAUCAAUGUGCUGCUUUUUUAAUUAUUGCUCAUGGUACAAAGCAGGGAAGGCUCAUUUAAGAAUGGAUCAAUAUCACGAAGGGAUUGGUAGAUGGAGGAGCAGUACAUCAGACUGCUUGAUGUAAAAAUCAUUGGGCCCUGUGCUGUGGCUGUUUGGGGUUAUCAGCCUGGUUAGCCUCCAGCUGGCUGCAGGGCAGUGUAAUAGGUGAACCCUACGUGAACCAGCGUUCCUGGCAGCGAUAUCCUCAAGAAGUUGUUACUGAGCAAACACAUCAUACUCAUCUAUCAGAAAUAAAAUGUUAUAAAUCCUAUCUUCUUCAUAG
Molecule: long non-coding RNA, 2621 nt
Organism: Polypterus senegalus (gray bichir)
Lineage: Eukaryota; Metazoa; Chordata; Cladistia; Polypteriformes; Polypteridae
Exons: 4
Source: RefSeq, a predicted model, not a curated record